Long non-coding RNA from Mauremys reevesii (Reeves's turtle), 426 nucleotides. RefSeq lists it as uncharacterized. Lineage: Eukaryota; Metazoa; Chordata; Testudines; Geoemydidae. The record is from RefSeq and is a predicted model, not a curated record. The transcript has 3 exons.
AUCAGCUUUAUUCCACAAACACUCAGGGGCCAAAGUCUAUACUAAGAUUGUGGCUUUUCUGUAUAUUUGGACACGAAAGUAGAUUGAACUGGUGUGAAAUUUCCUGUGCUUCCAACAAUCUGACUCCGGUACCAGCAGCAUUCUUGAGAUGUUCCUGAACACCAGUCUCCACAUCUGGAUCCCUCUGCUCCUAGGAAAUCCUCCACUAGCCAAAGACCUGCUGCCCUGCAUCACUUUCCAACGAAGAUAUGAUUAUAUCUGGGGGGAGAUUACUCAGGUGUACGGAGGGGAACUACAGAUGCUUCCCUGCUUUCACUGCUCAUUACCUUCUUGUGGUUUGUGAGAGAGGAAUAUCACUGCUGAAAACCACAGAGGACUGUUAGAGGAUAUCAGGAUGUCCACAGAGAGGGGAGACUGAGAUCAAGA